Molecule: non-coding RNA, 29 nt
Filed under: Bombyx mori (domestic silkworm)
Lineage: Eukaryota; Metazoa; Arthropoda; Insecta; Lepidoptera; Bombycidae
Source: RNAcentral
UGAAUCUACUGUUUCAAAGUCGCACAAAA